AGAAUACAAUAUAUUUAUAUAACUAUCUAUAAUAUAUGUAUAAAGUAUCUGCAUUGAGUUGCAUCUGAAAUAGUAAAAUACUGACAUAUUAAAUUUUUUCCAGGUCAGUUAUCUGUAUUGAAUGGCUGGAGAAUACAAACCUAGUACAAAUGUAUAUAGAGGAAUGAAGAGGCCUCACAUAUAACUGACUGUCAUUGGGUAAUUUUAUUAUUAACAAAAAAAUUGAGAAUGGAAAUGGGGAAUGUGUCAAAGAGACAACAACCUGACCAAAGAGUAGAAAACAGCCAAAGACCACCAACACACUGAGAAAAUCCCACACACAGAGGCAUGCUUGAGCUACCACCUAAACAAAAAUGUGUACUACUCCACGGAAACAUGUGGUCAAGGUGAUAAUGAAUGUUAUACUAACUCCAAAAUUAAAAUGAACUAAAAUUAAAAAUCUUAAAAAAUAACAAAGGCUAGAAUGCGGUGGGGUCAAACAUGUUUUGCAAGAUUCAACCUAUCCUAAUACCUCUAUAGCUAGCCAUUGUAGAAAAACAAAAACAAUAUGCACAGUAAAUCUCAGUUUUAAAGAAGUCAUAGUCCUACAUUGUAUGUCAGAAUAGGCAAAAUGAUAGGAAAUAAAACAAAAUAAGCAAAAUGACAACUAUACAUAAAUUUACAAAGGACUACUAGCAGUUACUGACAUGUUCCUCAGACAUAUGUGAACUUAACUAAAUGUCAUACACUAUAUGUUUUAUCACUUUUUGACUUUUUUUUAGCACAUGAAAUAUAUAUUGUACCAUGUUUUUUUAAGAUUUUUUUUGUUGGUACCUUAUAAAUACUGGUAGGACAUGAAUUACCAAUAAGAAAAAUAAUUUCUUUGGUUUUAUUCCAAUACAGAUACAUGAAGUCAGACUAAAUGUUUUUGAACCUUGCAUAUCUACUUGAACUUGUUUCAUAGUUUAGCAAAAUUACUUUAUUCAGUAAAAUUUCUAAACAAAUGUAUAGUUUUGUAGACAUUGGCCUCAUAAAAAUUAGAUAUAGGAAGAUGUGGUGUGAGUGCCAAUGAGACAACUCUCCAUCCAAAUAACAAUUUAUAAAAGUAAACCAUUAUAGGUCAAUGUACGGCCUUCAACACAGAGCCUUGACUCACACCGAACAAAAAGCUAUAAAACCCCAAAAUUACUAGUGUAAAACCAUUCAAACAGGAAAACCAACGGUCAAAUUGCAUUUUAUUAAACUUGGUCAAAUUAUAUUUCAGCAAAAGGCUUUGCCAUCCAAUACAUUUCAUCUUGGAUGAAAAAGAACACCAGUCUGAUGAUGGUGACAGGUCAAAUUUACCUAACAGGUAACAUAUACAUGACAUAUUGUUUUAGGGAGCUACCAUUUAUUUUAAGGGGGGGGUAUGGAAUUUGAAAAAUAGGCAGACAGGAUUUUGAGUAAAAAAAAAGCAGGAUUGACACUUGCAAAAAAAAAGUCAGGACGACAAUUUAGGUAAAAAAAAUCAGGAUAAACUAAAAAAAAAAGUCAGGACCGAUUAGAGUGAAAAAUAAAAAGGCAGGACAGAGAUUACAGCUAAAAAAAAAUGCAGGACAAAAUUUUUCAUCCUAGCCCCCCCCAUAAAAAUCAAAUGGUAGCUCCCUAAGGCUAAACAUACAUGCAUGCAUAUUGGGACCAGGGAAGACACUUAGAGAUCCAAAGUUACAAUGUGUGGUUGGGUUAAUUGCAAUGAAAAUGUUAGUGAAAUUCUCAAUUGGCUUCUAUCAGUUGUAACCCUAUUAUGAAUGUGUUUUCCUGUGUACAAUGUGUGAUUAAAAGUAAGAGCCUAAGGCUUUAUAAUGCAUACUCCUUUUUAUUGCUUAAGUUUAAAUUUAACAAUAUUAACUAUAGUUGAAAAAUCUGUAUUUUUCAUCUGUUUUAUUUAUCCUUCCAUGGAUGGGCACUUGUUGUUUAACCUACAUGUACAUUAUUGUUAUGUUAGUUUAGUAAAGUAUGAAUUAAUAAUGGAUUAAACCCAGAUUUGUGUUAAAUAUAGCCUCCUUUUGUUGUGCUUGAUAUCCUAUUAUUUUUUUUUAUAUAUUAAGAUAAGUAAGUUAACACUUAUAGACAUACUCCAACAAAUAUAAUAUUUUUUAAAACCAGUAUAUAUUUUAAAUGGAGUGUUUGAAAGAGAGAGUCGAAAAAACAAUGCACAAAACCAGACAAAUUGAAACAAAUGCAUGACACAAGUGUGUUUAAAAACAAAAGGAAUGUUUCUCUGUUUACGAGUUAUUGUAUGGACUACAAACACAAUACAAACCCUCUUAAAACCCAGGUUAUAUCAGGUGUUAAGAGUCAGCAUACACUGCUUGUAUAUGAUUUAUAGUUCAUAACUGUCUGUCAUUCUGUACCUCUGUCAAACCUUGUAAAUUAGCCAUACUUGGUAUAGAAUAAAGAUUAUUUGUACACAAUGAUUUUCAAUGUAUAGUUUCACACUAUAUAUAUAUGAAAAUAACUUUGUAUAAUUUUCAUAUUUCUGUUUCCUGAAAACUAGUAACGAUUACCAGUAUAGUUGUAUAGUUCUAAGCAUUUUGUCAAACAUCUGAACUUGUAAUAAUAUUCCCUGAACAUUUUUAUACAGGAUUGUGGUUAAAACUCUUAAAAUAUAAAUAUUUCUGUAACAAUUUUAAACGUAAUAACAAUUAACCACUUCAUGAUAUCCAUUACCAAAAGUGUUGUAUAGUCUGAUUAAAACCACAGAAUUUACUUUGCUUUUCAGAUACUAGUGAAGAAAUAAAGAAACAAGAGUAGACACCAUUUGACCAACUGUGCUUACAGUACUUGUGCAACAGUUGUGAUUGAUGUCCAUAUUACAUUGUAGUAUGAUAAUACUUUACAGCAUCGACAGAAUUAUCAUCUUGGUCGUCAAUGCCUCUCAUUUCAUAAUAAAUUGCAUUUGUUAUUUAGGUUGUAUGAUUUUCUAAAACGACUUUUUUGUUAUUAAUGGAGUAGAAUGUUGAAAAAACAAAUGACAAAGAAAAUUGCUGAAUAAAGGCCACAAGUUCUUUUUUAUUGUUUUAAAUAAAAAUUAGUAUGGUGUUUGACUGAAUUAAAAAAGAUAUUUCUUAUUUAUUUCCAGUACAUUAAAAAGCACUUUAUCACACAAUCAGUGGCAGAUCCAGAAAUUUUCAUAAGUUAGGGCCCACUGACUGCCUAAGAGGGGGUCCAGCUCACUCCAGUCAUGCUUCAGUGAUUCCCUAUAUAAUCCACCAAUUUUGUUUCCAUAAAAGGAGGGGGCUGGGCCCCCCGCCCCCCUAAACCCACCUCUGACAAUACCAUGAAAAUAAAUUUGCUGUAGCUAUUUGUUGUAUUUUGUUUUCAUUGUGUAUUUCUGACAUAAAACCCUCAUUUUUACUAUAUAUAUC
Molecule: long non-coding RNA, 3386 nt
Filed under: Mytilus galloprovincialis (Mediterranean mussel)
Lineage: Eukaryota; Metazoa; Mollusca; Bivalvia; Mytilida; Mytilidae
Source: RNAcentral